UCUUUAUUUGAACAUUACUUAUUUUUUUUUCUUAAUAUGACUUGAAUAAAAAAAAUUUCGAAAUAGAAAUGAU
Molecule: transfer RNA, 73 nt
Filed under: Phaseolus vulgaris (common bean)
Lineage: Eukaryota; Viridiplantae; Streptophyta; Magnoliopsida; Fabales; Fabaceae
Description: tRNA-Glu
Source: RNAcentral